CCCCUCUCCUCAGGCCGACAAGUGGGUCCCCAACCCCCAGCCAACUCGAGCCAGAGCAGCCGCCCGCCAUGGCCGCCCACUCCACUGCAAAAUCCGCCACCUCCUGUCCCUCGCGCUCGCGUCUAACCGUCGGGAUGUGGUCGCCGCCCACUCCUCCACCAUUCCCCCCACUUUCCCCCAAAAAAAUGGCGCCGGAUUGACCCGCCACGAGCCCACGUCGCCACCCCAUGUCGCCGGUCGUUGCCGCCCAAAAUUCGUCCCAUCCCGGCCGUAUCAAAGCUCCCCGAGCCUAUAUAAAGCACCCUCGUGCCCUUCUCAUCUGUUUCCCCAUUUUCCCGAGCUCUCCCGUGCCCGGAAACCACCCCGCUACCGUCGCACCUCCCUCCGCCGCCCGCCGGCGCGUUCCAACCGCCUGUCACCGCCGCCCUAACCCUCGCCGCAUUGUGACGCCACCACCACCGGCUUCACCGCCGGAGGGCAAGACCGGCCACCACUUCCCCUCCCCAAACCGCCGCUGAAACCCCGCCGCCACCACCAACCCGAGCCACCGCCGCCUCCCGCCGGCGAGCGUCGCCUCGCCCGGCCAUGUCGCCGCCACCCACAGCGCCGCCACGCCCCACCGCACCCCGUCCACUGCUCCUCUUCCCCAAUCCAUUUCCGAAACGCCGCCACCACGUUCACCAUCUCUCUCCGCCACCAUCGCCAACUACAGCCGCACCGCGCCACCUCUCCGGCCGACCCCGCACUGCGUCGUCGCCUCCCUUGGUUCUGCAAGGACGAGGAGACCCUCGGCCACCGCCCAGCUCGCGUCCCAACCACUGGAAUCCAUUUCCCCUCGCGCACCGGUCGAGGAGGUGCUCGGCCGCCCUUCCUCACCUGCCGGUCGUCGUCGGUGCUUCGCUCGCGCUGUUUUUCCGCGGGGCGCCGCUGCCUCUCCUCGUCGUCGGCCGCCUUCCCGCGUCGCCUCCUCGCUGCUUCGGCGCUCGUGAGUAUAUUGCGCCGUUUCAGAAGUCCGCGGUCGUGAGGAAAAGAGUUCAGAAGAUCGAAGUGAAGAAGAAGGGCAAGUCACACAUUCCCCUUGAGCAUGUUGAUUAUUAGAUACCAUUAAUUGGAGUAAUAUUUAGUAAUGUAAGCACGGUGCUUAGAUUAUUAGAUACCAUUAAUUGGGGUAAUAUACAGUGGAUCAGAGGCCGGCCGCUGAUGGUGAAGGAUUAGUGCAGGUGUCCUCUACAUGUGUAUAUUAUCCUAAGUGCAAUUUCCUGGGGAGGGUACUCCUCCGUAUUUAGCCCCGGUUGGAUGGCCAUGACAGGUUGUCGUAAGGAACUCGGCAACCAGGGGCGGUCUCUCGAAACACUAGGAGGACACUGGGUACGAGGUAUUGGUUGCAUGAUUGUAUACUAGUAAGUAUAGAUUAAAGAUGUAUAUAUACUAGAAGUACAGGAAUGAUACUUUUAUUAUUCUUUCUCCAUUUAGCUUAGACUAUAUUUUAGUGAGAGUAGUUCUUAGUUCUUUCUUCUGUGUGUCACCCUACCCUUUGAACUAAAUUAACCCCUGCAUAGACUUGAUGUAUAUAAGUAAUAUAUGAAUUGUUAGCA
Molecule: non-coding RNA, 1595 nt
Organism: Oryza sativa Japonica Group (Japanese rice)
Lineage: Eukaryota; Viridiplantae; Streptophyta; Magnoliopsida; Poales; Poaceae
Source: RefSeq, a predicted model, not a curated record